RNAcentral lists this ribosomal RNA (496 nucleotides) under uncultured bacterium. RNAcentral describes it as "partial 16S ribosomal RNA". It matches the Rfam family "Bacterial small subunit ribosomal RNA", at positions 30 to 523 of the family's 1533-position model. The record is from RNAcentral.
UUGAACGCUGGCGGCAGGCCUAACACAUGCAAGUCGAGCGCGAAAGUUCUUCGGAAUGAGUAAAGCGGCGGACGGGUGAGUAACGCGUGGGAAUCUGCCUAGUAGUGGGGGACAACAGCCGGAAACGGCUGCUAAUACCGCAUACGCCCUACGGGGGAAAGGGGGGGAUCUUCGGACCUCUCGCUAUUAGAUGAGCCCGCGUCGGAUUAGCUAGUUGGUAGGGUAAAGGCCUACCAAGGCUACGAUCCGUAACUGGUCUGAGAGGAUGAUCAGUCACACUGGAACUGAGACACGGUCCAGACUCCUACGGGAGGCAGCAGUGGUGAAUAUUGGACAAUGGGGGCAGCCCUGAUCCAGCCAUGCCGCGUGUGUGAAGAAGGCCUUAGGGUUGUAAAGCACUUUCAGUGGGGAGAAAGGUUUGUCACCUAAUACGUGAUGAAAUUGAUGUUACCCACAGAAGAAGCACCGGCUAACUCCGUGCCAGCCGCCGCAGUAA